RNAcentral lists this long non-coding RNA (731 nucleotides) under Triticum aestivum (bread wheat). RNAcentral's name for it is "long non-coding RNA (TAES_LNC004163)". Lineage: Eukaryota; Viridiplantae; Streptophyta; Magnoliopsida; Poales; Poaceae. The record is from RNAcentral.
GAUCGAGCCGACCCAGCUGGACGAGCACGAUGGAUUUUGGGCACACCACCUUGGAACUCCGGACCGGAGGGCUGCCCAUGCCCACCCCAUCAGUGCUGGAGCUUGAAAGAAAUCUUUGGAGGGGCGAAGCUGUAAAAAAAACGAAAUCAUACAAAUACAACAAGUUAGAUAUUGCAAAUAUCAAGAAACUUAGAUAAUUAUAUCGAUCUUCUUCACAUUAGCUUACAAAAUCUAUUACUAAUCAGUACAGAAUUCGGUUCACUACAACUGAGCUCUUCAUUUUUUUGCACCCCUAAAGUCCUAUUUAACCACGGGCAGAAUUCGGUUCGCUGUAAAGGGCAUUUUCUAUUUCAGUACAAAAUCCAUGACCAGAUGACCUAAUUAGAAUUCUCCUCAACUAAGGUGAUUUUUUUUCUUUCGUGGAAUCAAAAUAUUUGAACUUUCCACAAUUUCCAUAGGGGAGAGAUUGAGAUAGAUCCAGCGAGGGCAGUCUGCUCACCGGCUCACUGAGGCACCGCGCGGCGUCGACGUUGUCUGGUGUUGUUCGCGGCGGAGGCAGGAGCCGAAGAGCGGAUGUUCCGGCGAGUCCAAUCCGGCCGGCCACCAGCCGGCGGUCGCCCCCCACGGCGGCAAGCCACAGCGGCCAACAGGCCGGACGCCGGCGCCCCACCCCCACGCUCAGGGGUCUGCCGUCGCAACUCGCAGGUCAAAGAAGAUUGAGUUGGUUGCUG